Molecule: ribosomal RNA, 586 nt
Filed under: uncultured Burkholderiales bacterium
Lineage: Bacteria; Pseudomonadati; Pseudomonadota; Betaproteobacteria; Burkholderiales
Description: bacterial SSU rRNA
Rfam family: Bacterial small subunit ribosomal RNA
Source: RNAcentral
UACGGGAGGCAGCAGUGGGGAAUUUUGGACAAUGGGCGCAAGCCUGAUCCAGCCAUGCCGCGUGCGGGAAGAAGGCCUUCGGGUUGUAAACCGCUUUUGGCAGGAACGAAACGGCGCAAGCCAAUACCUUGCGCUAAUGACGGUACCUGCAGAAUAAGCACCGGCUAACUACGUGCCAGCAGCCGCGGUAAUACGUAGGGUGCAAGCGUUAAUCGGAAUUACUGGGCGUAAAGCGUACGCAGGCGGCUUUGCAAGACAGGUGUGAAAUCCCCGGGCCUAACCUGGGAACUGCAUUUGUGACUGCAUGGCUAGAGUCUGUCAGAGGGGGGUGGAAUUCCACGUGUAGCAGUGAAAUGCGUAGAGAUGUGGAAGAACACCGAUGGCGAAGGCAGCCCCCUGGGAUGAGACUGACGCUCAUGUACGAAAGCGUGGGGAGCAAACAGGAUUAGAUACCCUGGUAGUCCACGCCCUAAACGAUGUCUACUAGUUGUCGGAGGGUAACUCCUUCGGUAACGCAGCUAACGCGUGAAGUAGACCGCCUGGGGAGUACGGUCGCAAGAUUAAAACUCAAAGGAAUUGACGGGGA